AUUGAACGCUGGCGGCAGGCCUAACACAUGCAAGUCGAGCGGUUGAGGUAGCUUGCUACCGAUGCAGCGGCGGACGGGUGAGUAAUACAUGGGAAUCUGCCUGGUAGUGGGGACAACGUUUCGAAAGGAACGCUAAUACCGCAUACGCCCUACGGGGAAAGGGGGGGAUCUUCGGACCUCUCGCUAUCAGAUGAGCCCAUGUCGGAUUAGCUUGUUGGUGAGGUAAAGGCUCACCAAGGCGACGAUCCGUAACUGGUCUGAGAGGAUGAUCAGUCACACUGGAACUGAGACACGGUCCAGACUCCUACGGGAGGCAGCAGUGGGAAUAUUGGACAAUGGGCGCAAGCCUUGAUCCAGCCAUGCGCGUGAGUGAUGAAGGCCUUAGGGUUGUAAAGCUACUUUUACCCGGGAUGAUAAUGACAGUACCGGGAGUAAGUAAG
Molecule: ribosomal RNA, 440 nt
Filed under: uncultured bacterium
Lineage: Bacteria
Description: bacterial SSU rRNA
Rfam family: Bacterial small subunit ribosomal RNA
Source: RNAcentral